This is a non-coding RNA of Dictyocaulus viviparus (bovine lungworm), 71 nucleotides long. The record is from the annotation of a GenBank genome assembly. NCBI's taxonomy places the organism in Eukaryota, Metazoa, Nematoda, Chromadorea, Rhabditida, Metastrongylidae.
AAAUCCAACGGACUCAAACCACUGAUCUUCUGUGUGCAUUACAGAUGUGAUAACCACUACACCAUCAGAUC